UAUAAAAUAGUGAAGCUGAGGUUUAGUAAAACCAAAUUUGGUGACGGUAUUGUGGCCGAAACUGAAAAUUUUACCUGCUACUUACCAAGAAGAUUUUACAUACAUUUUGAAAAGGAAGGUAUUGAAAACUUUAACGAUGCAUUAAGAAGUCGACCUGUAUAUAUGGUUAGUAAAGGAAAAAUUGGUACAACAACGAACAUUAUAUUUAUCCAAGAUGAAGCAUGAAAAUGGAUUAAUUAAAUGAUUAUUAAUAUUUGAUAAUGUUAUGUAUUUGAAAUAAACUUUUGUCUACAAUGUCUUAUAUUCCAUGUGAAUGUUUUGCAAUAGUUAGGAAAUAAAAAUAUUUGUAUUGAA
Molecule: long non-coding RNA, 354 nt
Organism: Anoplophora glabripennis (Asian longhorned beetle)
Lineage: Eukaryota; Metazoa; Arthropoda; Insecta; Coleoptera; Cerambycidae
Exons: 2
Source: RefSeq, a predicted model, not a curated record